RNAcentral lists this ribosomal RNA (439 nucleotides) under uncultured bacterium. RNAcentral's name for it is "partial 16S ribosomal RNA". It matches the Rfam family "Bacterial small subunit ribosomal RNA", at positions 339 to 795 of the family's 1533-position model. The record is from RNAcentral.
CUACGGGGGGCAGCAGUGAGGAAUAUUGCACAAUGGGGGGAACCCUGAUGCAGCAACGCCGCGUGGAGGAUGACACCUUUCGGAGCGUAAACUCCUUUUAUAUAGGAAGAAGAUGACGGUACUAUAUGAAUAAGCGCCGGCUAACUCCGUGCCAGCAGCCGCGGUAAUACGGAGGGCGCAAGCGUUACUCGGAAUCACUGGGCGUAAAGAGCGUGUAGGCGGAUUAAAAAGUCAGAAGUGAAAUCCUAUAGCUUAACCAUAGAACUGCUUCUGAAACUCUUAAUCUAGAAUAUGGGAGAGGUAGAUGGAAUUUCUGGUGUAGGGGUAAAAUCCGUAGAGAUCAGAAGGAAUACCGAUUGCGAAGGCGAUCUACUAGAACAUUAUUGACGCUGAGACGCGAAAGCGUGGGGAGCAAACAGGAUUAGAUACCCCCGUAGUC